GUCAGUGCGCUUGCGCCCGGCGUUCGUGUGUUUACUCGUUCGUUCGUUCGGCCGCUUGCUUGCUUGCUUGCUUGCUUGCUCGCUCGCUCGCUUGCUCGUUCGCUCGUUCGCUUCGCCGCAAAGUGGCAACCGGUGGUACCGGCCGCAGCGUCGCUGAGUAUUUAUGUAUAGACGAUGCAUCGCGUCACGUUAAUGGGUCCGGCCGCAAGCCGCGCGUAGUCGAGUCACCCCGUGGCUGCUGCGCUGAUGACGCACACUCCAGACGCCGCGACUACUUAACCCUUUAUUUAGUAAUAUUGCCCUGCGAGAGUGCGCAGCUCGCGGGCUUUCUUAUCUGUUCUCUGUCGCUUCCGCGGUCGAAUUCCGAUCACGCGGCUCGCAAAGCUAUGAAACUGCGAACGAUGCGACACUACAGCUGUGUGUUGCAAGCUCUCUCUCUCUCUCUCUCUCUCUCUCUCGCUUUCUCUCUAUCUCGAUCGCUCGCUCCCCUCUCGGUCGUUUCGUCUUCUAAUUCGCAAAGUGGCGUGUCGAGGUCGACUAUUCUUAUUUAUAAUUUAUAUAUAUACAGUUGACGAUCGUAGUCGCAUUAUAAUUUCUUCUGAAUUGUUCAACGACACCGAGUGGAAGGGGAGAAUCGAUUCCGUCGAAUCCUAUGUUUCGCGAAAAUAGACGAGAUCUUACGUGUCAAUUAAUUUUCUAUGCAUGUUGCAAGGGCUUCUAAUUUUGCAGUCGAAAUUCAGUUUUGCUAUACUUAUCAUAAUGCUGUGAUAUCAGUAUUUAACACAAUUCAAGUUCUUCAUGAACCAACACGUUUGCCUGGGAAAAAUCGCGAGGAGCAUUGAACACGAAUCUCCGAAGCCGAUAGAGAGAGAGAGAGAGAGAGAGAGAGAGACGUGAGCGAUGGGAAUCUAUUUCAGUUCUCGCACCUAUUACCGGGCAACUUGUAUAUCGUGUGUACCGUGCGCGCGAGUAUGACGUUGAGUAUGGCGCGCGGCGUAUCGUAUUAAUAAAUCAAUGCGUGUGCAUCGAUUUGCGCGCGCUGUCUGCGUCUUCUAUAGCUGCCAACGGCGUAUAUACCGGCGUGGCGGCUCCGGCGCACGUCGGCUCAUUUGUUACCGUCGAAAGGCAUGUCGACUUGGACUUGCGUAAAACGGCAAGAGCGGACCAGAUAAAAUCACCGCGAAGAUAAGCGCGCUGCCAGCACGUGGACCUUAAAUACGAGGCCCCGACUGACGAGACGGUCGGCUUGGCACACGGAUCGCGCCAACUCGCCCAACGUCAACGUCAUCGCGAUCAUCGUAUAAAUAAUAAGAGCACGCGUGGGACGCGCGUUAACGCGGCUGCAGCGGCGCGCAGCGUGUUUCCGCGAGAUCUACGGCAUUCGCACUCGCGACGAGCGUCGUUCUCUCCCCGUUAAUCCUUGCUCGGCGUUUUCGCGCGAAUAAUGCGGACCAAGCGAAAAGAAACUGAGGUCGUUAGCCAUCCGCGAGUUUUGCAGUCCCCGAAGAGAUGCAGCUGCGAUUCGCGCAAAAUUGCUGCGGCAGAAGUAUAGAAUAGAAUUGCAGCGACGAGAAAUAUACCGGCCGAGAAAAAUUCAUCCGUUUUCCCACGUUCUCUCUCUCCGGCACGUACCUACCUCCCUGCCCUAUCUCCCUUUCUCGCUGUCUCGCCAAUAAUAUCCCUACGCUGCGCUCUCGAUUAUAUGCCGUUAUCGCGAGUGCAUUUCGUCGUUGCAGCGCAACGUUAUGCCGAGGGCGGCUUCUCGCCGAGCCGUUAUCGGUCUUCCACUCAAUAACGCCGCACGGACGAAUCGCAUCGCACGCGCGCGAUAUUAUACGCGCGAGCCACGUGAAGUGUUAAAAGGCUUAUCUGUUGCCGCGAUGACUAUACGCACUUAACGAUCACGUUGCCCGCUCCGCGGUAAAAAACGCAGGUCGGCAAACUGCUCGGUGUCGGUGAACGAUGAGCGGGUGAUCGAUACGCGUAAAUAUAUACGAUGCGGCGGGGUAAUCUGCAUGAAUAUUCCACUACACCUUCCUUCCCUUCUUAGAUAAACGUUGCUCGCAAACGUUGCUGGCCCUCUGGUAAACGCGGUUGGACUCUCCACUCUUUUAAUUCCUUAACACAUCGCCAUCAUCGCGUGCUGAACACUUUCUAAAACGCGAAUCUCGAAAUAUUGCAGACGCGGCGGAAAGUUUAUGGGAAUUGAAGUUUCUUCUUAUACUAAUUAAAUAUUAAUUAGUCAAACAUUGAAAUCGACUCUGCAGACUUUAGCUCGUUUUAGACUAUGCAAUAUAUUGCGCAAGAUUUGACGCAAUUUUUAAAGCAAGAAAUAUUGCAGAAUAUCAUACACAUAGAUUCUUAUAUAACUGAUAUACGUUCUUCCAUGUUUUCAGUUUGUACAUAUUGCAUGUACAAGUACAUAUUGCGCAAAUCUUGUGUCAAAUAAAAUGUACAGCAUAAAACACAAUUCAACGGUAAGCAAUUCUUGCAGUAAACAAUUGCUCAAGAAAUUCCGUCAAAUCUAGCGCAAUAUAUUGCAUAAUCUAAAACGGGCUUUAGAAAAAUAAAGUAAGCAUUAAAUCACGCGACAAAAUCAUUAGCGUCUGCGAAAUGCUUAUUAUCACACUAGAUAGUUCUUUCAAACUUCGCCGACAUCGAAUGUGAAUGUAAAAGAAGGAGAUUAUGUAUACUUUAGACUGUGAGUUUAUCGUAAUAAAAAUCUGGCAGCACUUUAAGUGCAAACGGUCACGAUUUCUAUCUGUCGAUCGAUCUUCCAUCGAAAUUAGACGAGAUGUGAAAUUUGAGUUGAAGGUGGAGGCGAAUGGAACAUCGACAUCUUUUUUAUCAAUUUCCAUUUGAUCCCCGUCGGAAGUCAUUCUUGAUGCUCGACGGUGACAAUUCUUUUUAGUGGAUUUCCCGGAGAAUCUUCCGAGAAGAGGUGCAAUAAAGGUGAGUACUCACCCCGGCUUGACGGCAGUGUGAAGUACCUACGAGGCGCGUACGUAAGUUGCCGCGUUGUUGCAACAGGUGCACUCAAUUUGUGACCCUUCGCGACCUGCUUUUAUACGAUACAUAUAACUUCUGUAUGACACCCGCGCACACGCCGCGUUAAGAACGCCGAGGCGAGUCUCGCGUAUUCUCACGGAAUCGCGGGCGACAAAUUUAUGUCUUUUCUCCGGGAAAGCGUGACAAAAAUAUGUAUCCCACGUUAUCGCGAGUGCUGUCGAAACGAAUGGCAAGUCUGCCAUUAAUAAUAAAGCAGGCGCUGUACUUCGCUGUAUUCAUCGCUUAUGAGUUUCAAAACGCAUUCCGGCGGGCAGGUUUAAAAUCCUCGCGAAGACACGAGGGAGACGAAGAAGAGCGAGGGCGAAGGGCGCGAGAGUGGCGUACGAGGGGGUGGCACGAGGGCGGCAGUCCCGGAAUACCGCAUACAUCAUGCAUAUUCUUACGUUCGCACGCGUGCCGGUAAUUCCGUGAUUCGGCGGUGGCUGUGGCCCACGAGGGUGCCUUCGCUCGGGUAUUGUUGCCGCGUUAAUUUACGAGCCAAUUAAUUAGCACCACCACCGUGCUGAGAUAUUUCGCGGCCGGAACGCUGUAUGUGCGCGCGAACGGCGAGACUCCCGUAUUCUCGUCUGAAUCCGCGAUAUUUUAUAGCGCGGGAUAAUAUCGACAUUUCGACCAAUAAUCGCGAAAGUCUCCCCGACGGGAAGUCAUGCCGGAAAGAGCUCUGCGUUCGGAUACAGUCGGCAUUUUCGCCAUUCACGUGGAUGGAUCAGUUGCACCGAUAUCACUUGAGAGCAAUUCAUUGAACAACAUCUCUCCGUGUCUGUAUAUUUGCGCGCCAUUAAUUGAGACUGCAAUCUAGAAAAAGGUAGCAAAUUCAAAGACCUGUCGGGUUUAUUUAAUUUCAGACUGCUGUCGCAAUCGGGCACGUUUCUCUUUCAAUUUAUUGCCAUCGUUACUUUUACGCGAGAGAGCUGAAGUAUUCUCGCGUUGCCCUCUAUCUCUCUUUCUUUCGGCGGGCUCUCGUAAAAUCCUUGCGAGAAGGGAGCGGGAAAAUUCUUUCGCGAAAUGAGCGUCGGGGGGGUGCAAAUGUCACUCGUGCUCGCCGCGGACGUUAUGGAUGACACUGUCAGCGGCAGAGGGUCGACACGCUAGACGGAAUAACGUGGCGUCAGUGUCCGAGGGUGCAGAGUGCAAGAGACAACGAAUAAUUCAUCCCUCGCCCCGUUCCCACGGCUCGCCUCAUUCCUCCCUCGCCUCUUUGUCUCGAAAAAUGUGCUGCACAUGCCGCCGCGGUGAUAUAGCGCGCUUCGCGGCGUGUCCAUCAGGUCGCGUGUGCAUCUCGCACUCCACCGCAUUAAAGCACAAUCAGUCCUCGCGUUUUACCGGAAUUUUAAUCAACCAACUCCAUAAGGCCCAUUUCCUCCCGGAAAAUCCACUCCCGUGCAUCGGUACGGUCGAUUUAUCGAUGCAAGAAAAGAGAGAAGCGAGCUUUUCUCUCUGCGCGACGCGCAUCUAUUAAUCUACUCUAUGUAUUAUACUAAUAUUUCUACUCAAUUGAAGCGAAUUUAUAUUUUAUUGUCAUUGAGAACAAUCUGAACUGAUCUGACUAAAUCUGACAAGAUUUUCUAUGUCAAAUUAUAUCUAUGUCAUUUCCAUUCGUCAACGGACAAUUGGAAAGCUUUAUACACGACUUAUAACUUACAUUAUACGAGAGAUGUGUUUCAUUUCAGCGUUAUGAGACUGUUUUUUAAAUUAUUUAAAGCUUAUAUGUAUAAAAUGGCGAGUAUUUAUAUACAGAGAUGCAUAAAAAACAGGAAUGACAAUUUGAUGUGAUACUUGAUUAUUGGAUUUCCUAUAUACAGGUAUCAAGGAUGAAAGGGCACGUGAUUCAAGCAAAGAUCAGGAGUAGCAGGCGCGCAUCUGUAUCUUUUUUUUUUCUACCCGAACAGAUCAGUUCCUGACAAUGGAGCGCGUCAAGGUGCGCGGAUAGAUAAGCGGAAGAUAGCGAUAACGGUCGCGCGCCAAUAACGACGGCUGACGCAUGACAUGAUUAUUAAUCAUGUGCAGGUUGCGCGUGCAACUGUCAGCGCUGCGUAGGGUCCGAAGGGUGAUCUGACUAAUCGUUUCGCCAUUACGGAAUAAUGUACUCGCGCGAUGCUCCUUUUAUGCUCUCCCCUUCUCUGUCGCGCUCGUCCUCGCGUCAGGUCUAAUCGGCGGGCAUUCUUGCAUCACUUCGCGCGCCGCUUACCCUCGCGAACGCGAACCGAAAAAUCGGAUUUGAUUUCGUUGCGGAAAUUGCAUCACAGCUCUUGCAUGACGAGCACACACAGAAUGCAUCUACGCGAUUAACGCUGAAAUUAGACGCAAUUUAACUGGCGUGAUAUUUCUAGAAGGAAAAUAUUGUGUAAACGUUCUAUAAACCUCAGGCAAAAUAAAUAUUUUAGCAGAGAAUGAAAGGCGAGAGCGAUGGGCUCUUGAUGCAUUUUAUAUCAGCGUUUAUUCAAUCUGCGAUAAAUAAAUAAAUUUGCAGCUUAUAAACAAGUCAAGUGGACAGUUUAAAAAAGAAAAAUGUAGAAAUGCUCACCUAACAAUCUCGAAACGACUUUUUAUUAAAAGUUUACUAUAUAUUUUUUCGUUUAACCUACUUUACAAACUUCAACUUUUUAUCUUAACCAUUAAAUUUUUACAUAUAUUCGUAUCAUUUUUUAGUGUCUUCAAUAAUAUGGGUUGUAACACAUCAGUUAAAACCAAUAAAUAAACGAAUAUAUGUUACAACCUGAUACAAUUUAUUUUCGAUAUAUUUCAAUAAGAUAAUUCCUAUUUUUAAUAUGAAAAUUUUUUGAUUUUUUUCAAAUAAUUUAGCUACAAUUUUGGUAGAGUUUACUAUUGCUUUUCGUCCAUUCGUCGACGGAAAUUCUUCAUAAUGGCCGCAGUUUAUUUUUUCAGGGAUCGAGGAAAUAAUGUGUCGUAAAGUAGAGAAAAAGAAAUGGAACAACAGAGAGAAAGAGAAGAGAUGAGACUCGGCUUACGGAUUUCGGUCGUUUCCGGUAAUGCGAAAACGAGAACGACUGGAUUCUCCGAGGCAGGAUAUUUUGCAAAGAGAUAUAGAAUCCCCCUGGUAAACCAACAGAGUCCUCCCCCGGUAUCCUGAGUCUCGGCGGGGGUGUACGUGUGCAUGAUGGUAGCUUUAACCCUCUCCUGUUAUCCCGGCGCGAUGCUUACUAAUGCGGCAAUAAACAUGCAUCUACAUGAGGCACGGGGCCGUAAACUGCACUCCGUCCCAGAGACGAGAAAGGGAAAACGACACGUGCAAAGCAACCGAAGAACUUCGCGCCGUUCAAAAAGCACCCCUAAAACUCACAUCUGUAACCGACGUUCGUUAAUGAUAAAAAGAAAAAUACUACUAAGAAGCUAUUAAUCGAGAGAAAGUAGAAAAAAUCAAAUUUAAAGAUCGUAAGAAACUUUUGCUGAAAUGUAGAAGGGAUCUAGGUUCAUCGACGAGUCCGUGAAAUAAAAAUUCGCGAGCUACGUGCGGGGAACAAAGCGGAGACGCAAAGAACACCGCGUCGGCUCGACGGCAAGGUAAGACAGCAGAAAUUUCUGUGACGCGUUUGUCGAUAGUGGUGGUCGUUUUAAUAUAAAAAUUGCUUUCGCGUGACGUGGCGGCGUCCCGGGAUCCGACUGUUUCUUCCGCGCGGCGGACUUUGUCGGCCGGGACUGCGUGCCGAGCAUUUCAAUCCGUUUACGAGCAACCUUCUCUCGCAAAACGCGACAGCGGCACGUCCCUUCUUCCGUCCCUCUCGCAAAUUGCACGCGGACGCGCGGUUAUUUUAAAAGAUUGUCUUCUGCAGACCGACGUCUUUAAUCUCGUGAUGCGAGAGAGCUCUCGUUCCGCACUUGCGAUUAUCCCCCUUCCCUCUUGCGUUAAGCGCAAGCACGUUGUCUGAGAACGUUUUUACCGCUUUUCUGACGAAAAACCUAAAAUACCUGGAAAGUGCACCUGGGAAUUACUUCUUUAUGCAUGUAUUCUUUCUAAGAGCGUCUCACAUUGUCUCGCGACAAAUUUGAGAUAAAGUUUUAUUAAUUCAAUGAAUACUCGAAAAUUUUAUACAACGUAAAGGUUUAUAUAAAGUUUUAUAUAACGUGAACUGGUCUUUUGAAUCUUUCUAUUCGUGGUAAGGAUGAAUGAAUUUUAUGGAGCUGUCCUGAAUCAAUGAACCAAUUCUGACGCGCAAAAGUUUGAAUAUAUCUUCACAUAGACCGGUGGAUAUUGUCGGUUUCGUUAAUUCCCGCGUUAAACAAUGCACUGCCGUUACGUUUUGUUAUUUUUGCGGCUGGUCGCAAGUUCCAACGAGACCUCUCCAUCGGCGUCGUGUGGCGAACCAUGGCGCUGCGUCCGACAAGCGUGUAAUUCGUCUACCACGAAAAGUCAUCGCGCCGGAAAAAAACGUCGCGGCGAGAGUUCCCGUAAAACUGGCAAAGAAGGAGAGAAGAACAGGAGAGAAUUCUCGCUCGAUUUCACGUACAUUGGUAGGACGACGGGAAAAAUCGAUCUCGGCCGGAUAUAGUCUGUUUCAGGCGAGGUAAGCGCGUCUCGAUGUUAUUAGUAGCUCCUGAACAUGCUACACAUACAUGAAUUCCCAUUGUUUGGCAUUUAUAUAUAUAUAUAUAACUCGGAUGAGAAAAAUGUGGAACAUUGGACGAGAGCAACUGAAUAAUUCAACUCUCGAUCUGUCGAUCGAGAUCCAUAAUUAAAAACGUUUCGAAAAAUAUCUAUCACCUACAAAAAUCAAACUGUCUUUAUCAGCCAUAGUGUAAAUGCAUCUAUUUCAUGUAUAAUAAUAAGAGAGCUAAACAAAAAUGUUUCUUCAAAGUGCAUUUCCACUCACGCAAUCAUAUAUUACAAACAUGAUCGGCCCGAUUUUCGCCGAUAUUGAAUACCCUCAAAUAGAACGGCGACUUAAGCGAUCGGAUUAACGAAGAAGGCCCGUUUGUGUGUUUUUCCGCAUAACGAUGUUUGCGGAAUUUUUAGUCGAUCGACAUCCAGAUGACGGCGUCUGGCAGCUGGCCAGCACUGGGCUAGCCUUCAACAGUGCCUACUGUGUCUUCGACUGGUUUCACCGGCUAAUCUUCGCAUAACACUCGGUUGCCCUAAUAGAUAUUGGGAGAUUUAUAUCGGCCGGCAACCGAAAUUAAUCUAGCGAAAAGCUGAGACCUGCGCCGGGGGAGUCUGGGUUGCGCCGAGGUUAAUAUAAGUUGCGGCCACCCGCCAUGGAAAAACGAGCACCUGCGGCUACGUAGAGAGUUUCCGUCGGGAUGGAAUUGGAUCCGCGGAUGUGCAUAUCCCAGCGAAUAUAUACGUUCUCGUUUAACUCUUCUCGAUAUAUCUAAUUCCACGGUAGGUGAGACCAAAAGCGAAAGUUGUACGAAAUUCAUCGUGGGAAUGCAAGUGCCGGUUUGCGCGCAUUCGGAUGAAAUGUAAUAUCGAUUGAUCUCGAAAUAUUUAAUUGCGGUUUCCUCGUUUCAGGGAAACCACUACAGUCGAGAAUUAGCGCUAACUUUUGCCAAAUUGGGAAACAAUAAAGCAGGAAGUGCAAUCUGGUGCACAAUGUUUUGUAGAAUAUGCGCAAAUAUGCGAGAAACAAGCUUCACUAACGGAAUUCUGGUUUAUCGUUUAUUCGAUCGGGUGAACUUUUAUUUCCAGUCCGGAAUGUAAUAGUUACGAAUGCUGUGUCUAAUUUUUGGGGUGAACCGUCCCUCCCACGAAAAGAAACCUUGAAAGAAAGAUUCUUCCAUUUCUUGUUUUUAUUCGAGGUUGCGGUUUCCCGUAACGGUUCUCGUAACGGCACGGAACAAUCUACCUCCAGCUCGAUUAUCGUAUCCGUUAAAAUUCGUUUGUCAUUGACACCGACACUCUGAAUCGUAAAAUGCGACGAUUCAGAAGGCAAUGACGAUCAGGUCUUGAACGAUCCAAUUCGUUGGAAUAUCGGCGAUUCGUCCUAACGGUCUCUCGAGCAGAGGAUUGCAGUUUCUGUUUCAGAUAGGAGAACGCUUUCAUCGCACUUUGUAGAAACUGCGACCGUGAAACAGCGAUCGUACAUCGUUUAUAAAAAAUGAGCGGAGUACUUAGAAAUCCACGUUGAUCCCUAAACAAGUUGAAAAAUCUUUAAUCCGACGCUCGCGCGAGGCUUCUCGGAGCAAUCCGAUUGCGAAACGAUAAAGGCAUUAUUUUCGUUCGGAAUAUCGCCUGACCUGCAUUCUCGCUCGCACAGUCAACCGCAAAUUGGCUGGCGGCUUUUCGCGUUUUUCCACCAGUCGAUAUCAAGUCUGCCUCUCUCUCUCUCUCUCUUCCCCGCUUUUCUCACAACAUUUCAUACAGCCGCGCCCUAACGACCACCUUUGACCCUGUGUCCAAUAUCCGUGGACGAGCGGAACGACGGCAACAAAAGGAAGAAGGAAAAAGAGAGAAAAGAAAACGAGAAAAGGGAACAAGAAAGUUCUGUGCUUGACGGCUUCUCGCACGGCUGAUUGAGCCGUGGUGGUUCGAACGAUUUAAUGGACGACACAAAAAUUAUCGUCGCUUUUUCCGGCCGCGUGGCUCAUUGUUGCCAGAAGACCGAAUUUAUCGGCCGGAUCGGAGAGACCCCCGGUCGGGAUAGCUGCAUCGAGAUGGAUGGAUAGAUGCACUACUCUCUCUGUGCCGCGUGCAGCAGCAGAGAACGCUUCGAUUUUCGAUACGCUUGACGACGGCGAAGCUCGCUCGUACGCUCGCCCUCUCGCGCGAACCAGCAAAUAUUUUUCGAUUCUGUUAUAAUCUACUUACCGCUUAACGUCGUUCCAUCCGGUCGCUUUGAACAAAGCUUCGUAAAAUAGGUCGUUACACGUGUAUAUUGCAAAUGUAAAUGUUUUUAUUCAGUUUAUUCGGACUUAAAGCGCAUGUUAAUUAUUAAAUUCUUCGUGGCGGAUGGCAAUCGUUGUGGCAUUUUGCGUGAAUUACGCGGGACGAAAUUGCGAAGCUCGUAUCAUCAAAAUGUCUCGAUGUGCUUGUCCGCGUCACGUGCGCUGUAACAUGGGCAACGCGUGGGCACAUAUGAGACAUUAUAUUGUUCUAUUUCAGUCUUUUUUUUCCCCCGGGAGUGUGUGCGAAAGGUUGUAAGUCCAAACGGCCGGCAUUCAGAUUGGAACUUGGCCAGAAACAAAUAAUCGGCGUCCGGCGACGAUAGCUUUGUAACGCGAGUGAUUUUUGGUAUUCAAGAACAUUGUAUUUGCCACUUUUAGCCGGCGGCGGCCCUACGAGCCCGGCGAGCCCUGCAAGUUCCGCAAGCUUCGCUGGUGCAUGUACGGUUACCUCUCACAAAGCUGCGGCAGCAUGCAAAUUACGUUCCCUGCCACGAGAAACGUACGACGACACAUGCGCGCCCGCGCAUAUUGCUCGUGAAUGGCUUUUAUGGUAACCCGAUAAUCGAAAGGAUGUUUCAUUACGGAAUAAGAAUCAAUUACCAUCGUACACCGGCUAAUAUUCUAACGCAUAACAAUUUUUGUUUCGUCGAAUAAAAGCACGUCUGUCAUGCAGAUACGGUUCGACUUUUUGCACAUAUUAUUUUAUGAUCGUUUCCUUUUCUUCCUUUUUUUAAAAUGAAAAUAGCAGCAUGGUUUUAAACAAAUUAUUGCAGUUCUGUCGUCCGAUUAUUAUUUGGUUUCCGGUUCUAUUAUUGCUUCUGUUCUGUCAGUAUUAGAAUUUCUGUGAUACACAAAUGCCUGUUAAAAAAAGUUAAAGCGAGUUACCAUUUGUGAUAUUUUGAAAAUAGAGAUUCGCUCUGAAAUUUCUGAGCCAGAACAUCUAAACGUAAAAUUCAAUUUGAUGUUGCAAGAGCUGGAAAAAAUGUAAUUCUUUAGUGCAUCCACUGAAAUACACUAAACUAAAUUAAAACACUAUUUUGACUAUUUUGACACUAUUUUUGCUGUAGCAGAAAAGAACAUGAUAAUAAAUGCAGCUUCGCAGCACUUUGUUAAGCUGUUCGAAUAAAAAUUCCCGGAAGUUCUAUUUUCAAUUGGAUUCGAAAAUGUUCGAGGAAGAGGACAGAGAGGGGGAAAAAGAGAGAGAGAGGAAGCGAAAGCGUGCCUAAUCUACGGCGGGAGCGUUAAGCGCAAACUGUUCCGGUGGAAGCUCACGAAGCGCAAACAGAGAUCGGUUGCUUCGGUACUCAACUGCUCUUUGCGGACGAUGAGUAGUACAAGAAGAGCAAGAAGAAAAAGCGCACAGAGGAAGAGAAGAAAGCAAGGGAAGGGAAGGUGGAGGUGUCUUGUCCUGAAAAGCUUCGCGUAAAAUUGCUCGUAAAAUUCAACUGUUUUCGUCGCGCCUCGCCGAGACACUACAUACGCGUUCGCGAUGUUCUUUUAUGAGCGUAAAAUUUUACGGCACAUAUGCGACACGUUAGAAUACAAGCACGCGCCGAGAAGGAAAGAAAGAAAGAGAGCAAGUGUAAUAUUUUCCACAUCACUUUGAUUGAAAAUUCAGUUUUGCGAAGAGCAGAGCACCGCACUAACGCAAUUCACAAACACAACAGCAUUACGUUGUUGCACACGCGGCUCGAAUACGAUUCACCUGACAAUGAGCUUUGAUCCUCUUUUUUUUCUUUGAGCUACCUUUCAGCGAAAACAUCGGCAAAAUGGUACCCGGCGUCAUUUGUGUUCGGGCAUUUGUGUUAUUUCACUAUGUACGGUCGGAAGUGCAGCUCUCGGAAAAAGAAUCAAAAAGUUGAAAAUACGAACGCACAGAUAAUUGAAUCGGACACAUCUUAAGUUUCAAAGUGCUAAAUCGCGAUCCCGCAAUUCUAACGUAACAAUUUCCCGUGGCACUUUUGCGAGAUUUCGUCACAAGAUUCCUCCUUUUUUUCUCUUUCUCUUUAUUUUUUCUUUUUAGUGCGUCGCGGUGAAAUACGACGCACUAGUCGAGGGCCCGGCCAGCCGAAAGGUAAAAAGUACCGUGCAAAAGAGUCUUUGUGGAUGAGGUAAUAAAAUCUUCCUGUCUCCUUGAGCAUAAUGAGCGGCGUUCCGACAACGGGGGUAAGAAAGGACGGGCAGACGAGGAUGACACGACCGGGAAUUAGAUUUGGCCUCCCGCGCGUUCCUCCCGGACGGGAGAUAAAGGGUCCGGAGGGGUUUUAUCUCCUCGCGUGAUUAAGCCGCGAGGUAGUAUAUCAUCGAUUAUAUCCUCGUUAGACUAAGUAGUCUAACGGCGACGGACGUGUCCCCGCGUGCGGAGGAGGGUAACAGGAGGGCGCGGACGGAAGCUGAAGCGGAGAUUCGUCUUUUCCCGUGGGUGCUCACGCGGAAAGAUACGCGUCUCCUCUCUCCAUUCGCACCCUCGUCCGAGCUGCAUCAUAUUUCGAUUUACGUUAACGCGCCGCGAUCGAUAAUCGAGGGCGGUUAAGGGAAGAACGGGUGUUUAUUUAAUCGUCUGUAUCACGGCGAUCCGGAGGACAGAAGAUUCACUUUGCGGCCCUUCGUCAUCGCACAAAUUGAUAUUAAACAGCCUAUUACCGUUAAAAUGUGCCCGAGUGUAACUAAUUUCCCUACGCUUAAACGGUUCCCGAACCUUUAAUGAUCUUAUAGCGAUACUGCGGCCGCGGAAUUGCGUUCUUUUUUUUCGAUCGAGCUCGCCGUCGAAAAAUAUUUUCCCCCCGUGUGAGACACGACGUAUCCGUCCACGGUAAUGUGAUUGCAACUUUUUACACUUCACGUUACGGAAAUGCCAAGUCGAUUAAAUUUCACCGUGGUAAAUUUCAGCCGACGCUGAAGGAAAUCAAAGAGAAAGGACCACGCGAAACGGCAGAACCCUUCGAGACUUGAGCACUUUGCUUCUCCCCCAUGCAUCCCCAAUGCACGCGGCACUUUACGGAAGCCAUGGCUCAGCGUUUUCACCUACAGCUACAGCAUUACUUUCCCGGAGCUGAAGAGUCCUUCAACGUGGAGAGUGACGGACGCGAAUCAGCCUGACUGACUGAUAUCAAUAUCAUACGACUCGAUCGGAAAGUUUUUCGACGGUUGGUCAAAAAACGCGUGUGUGUGAGAAUCAGUGUAGGCAGUUUUAAAUGUUCUUUAUGAAAUUAUCCAUAAAGAAUAUUUGCAAGUUUUUUCAUUGAUCACUCUAACAAUAAGUUACAUGUUCGUGACACUCAAAGAGGACGAAUCUCAAGAAAGAGAGACUUCGCUCUUGUUAGCAUCGAGUAUCUUAGCAUGCCACAGAGAGUCCGUCGACACGAAGAAGGGAAGCAUUUAUCUGUCUCUGCAUGAAACAGAAAGGCGAAGUUACGUCGAGGCAAGUUUCCCAAGUGGAUUAGUCGCGAGCCGGAUUAAGUCGCGUAGUCUAUUGUAUGACGGAUUUACUAAACUCCGGGAUAGAGUGGCAGAACCGCCAGGGGAAAGGGAGAGGAAAUGUUCGCCGACACGCGCAAUAUCAUGCGCAACAACCGGAAUUAGGUACGCUUCUUUAUUCGUUACGACAAUUUUAUGCGUACUGCUAGCUUACGGUAGAUUGCACGCACUACGUACGAAAGUCGAAUUUUUUUGUUAUUUGUACAAAUUUAACAGUUCGUAAUAGCGCAAUGGGAAGUGUGAUUAAAAUUUUAACGAUUUAAUUGAUCUUUACGAAAUUCAAGUUGAAGAAUUUCUUCUCGAAGAAAUAUCUAUGUUUGCACUAAUGUUCCUGCAAUCAGGAUCUUGUCGAUGAAUUUUGCAGCUUGGACAGACAUUCCCGCUUUCCGCGAGAGAGAAUCAUUUGCAGUUCUUUCCCGAAUCUGGACGUUAUUUAUUAACGUUGAACGUUAUUUGUUACAACAUUUCUUCCCGAUUCUGUUUGUUCGGAAGAAUAACGUUAUCGUGAUCUCUGCUCCGCGGAGAUGUGACUCCGUUCGCAAGGAGCAGAGGACAUUCUUAAAUCAUCGUAGAGUCGUAUAACAAGAUUUAGAGGACGCCUUCGUCAAGAUAAAUCAGAUGACGAGACCAGAGCAAAUACUCGAUGAGAGAGAAAGAGAGAUGCGCGAACGAGAGAAAAGAGGGUUCACACUUCAUAUAAAUUCUCCUUCUGUUGCUUUUUCUGUCGUUGAGCGGAACGUCGAACGCGAAAGGGGCGGCGAUAAACUUCACGAACAGAUCGCAUGCACGAUCAUUUGUGAUUUAUCUCGGAGAACGGUAGGUAAAUGGCACCACGGAAAAUUGAUGUGUAAUAUUAAGUGUAUGCAAGAGUUCAGUCAGUUUUUGCACGUUUUCGCAAAAACUUUAGAUGCAUAAUGUAUAUAGUGCAAUGACCAAAUUAUUUGCCAUUGUGUUUUGCAAUUUCUGCCAACUCUCAAUUUGUAAAUUUGGAAUUUGUUUGCGAAAAACGUUUUUUCGUCUCUUAGCCACAUUGCGAAAGUACUAUCCAGUUAGAAAGUACUGCAUCGAUUGGAAUAAGUGGUAAUCCGAAGGCGCCAAGUUGGAUGAAUAUACCACGGAAAAACUUUUCAGCCCAAGUCCAAAGUGUUCUGCUGAAUACGAAAAGCAUAUCUAUAGCUUGCCAUUGCUCAUCGCGUUCACUCAUUGUUUUUCAGAGUUAUAUUUACCAUUAAAUCAUGACAUAUAACGUUUUACAAACUUCAACUGCCAACUUUUCAAAAACGUAAAAAAGCGAGAAUUUAUUUGAAGUUUAAAUAAUAAUGUCAGAGCGCUGAAAAAAGACAUUUGCAUAAAAAAAUACUUGCACCUAUCAAAUACACAUAUAAUAGUAUAUCUGCUAAUGUCUGCAUCAUAACUCUGUAAUUUUGUGCGCUUAUCAAUGCGAUCGUGUGACAAAUUGCUCGUCAAGCAGAAUUAAUUAAUUAUUCAUCGUGUUCGUUAAAUUAUGCAAUCAUCGAUAUCAGUCCUGUAUCGAUGUUAUCAGCGUCAUUACCGUAAAUUGGAGACAGAUUGUUGUCUGUUAUCAGGAUCCCCCAUCUCGUCACUUACGGCAGUGCGUUUGAUUUGAAACUUUUACGAGCCGCAUCGCGUGCGUGACCGACGCGUUGCGGAAUACUUGCGUGGCACGACGUGGUUAUAAAAUCGUCCAGGUCUAAAGGACUUAUCCCCUGCUACGCUCUAUGAGCCGCGAACUUUCCUCUAACAAUAAGCAAUGACCGCCGAGAAGCGCGCGAGACGAAACGUGUAACCAGAGAUAUCAAUUAUGUCAAUAAUCCAAUUUUUUCCUCGAUUAUCCUGUUUUUCGUCGUCUGGCGGAUAAAUCUCGGCCGAAAUAGACGGACCGAUGAAAGUGUCGAUAAUUGAAGUAUCGAUAAUCACGCUCGGCAAAAAUGCAGCAGAGAUUCCCGUCCAUUACAACACAAUACGUCCAGACAGAAAUUGCAAAGAUCAGAAUAACUUCGAUUCACUGAAUAACCAAUUCGUGCUGGAAAUAUUGAUCUAACAAGACACAUUUGCGAAAAAAUUACUUAAACGCUACGAGUUUCAAGAGACACGGCAGUGUCUCGCGCCAAGUAUACGCGCAGCGAGACCGCACCGUGACACUUUUACGCGAAAUGAAUAUAACGAUAGAUUUAAACGGUGGAAUCGAAUUCAACGAGAUUGCGAGGAUAUCGAGUCGAAGUCGCGAAUUCACCGAGCGUUGUAAUCACGAUAUGGCCGCCCUAUGGCCAACUUUUAAUAAUAAUUUCUCCCUCGAUGUGGGUGCCGGUGUAUUCCCUGACCGCUUUCAACAUAUUUUCCCAGCGGCCCUGGAAUUUUUAUGAAAGUAAGUCGCAGGCCUUUAUAUACGGCCGCGAUAAAUUGUUAUAUUAAUUACGCGGCAUGGGGGAGGGAGAGGGUGUCGAGCUGGUUCUCUCUCUUCACGCGAUCUCUCUCUCUCUCUCUUCGGGAUGCGGCGUGAUCUAUGAGUCGUCUUUCCUGUCAAGCUUUCGUUAUGUUCUCGCCAUGACACCUAUCAGACAGUUUCCCGAUUAAUUUAUUGCUGCACUAUCUCGCGGGCAUCGAAAAUGCAUCGUUUAACGCAGUCUCCCGUCCGACACGAGUCCGCUUUCCUGAUUCAAUCGGCACCGAUGAUGUAUUAACGAGCUUUGUGUCCAUCGCCGUAAGUUCGCGUGUGAAUUAAGCCCGCAGGCCGAUUACGGUAAUCUCGCACGCUGAUCUUCCUCGCGUUGUCGCAUUCGAGCCCGCGAUUAUUUCCUCCGCGCUCCAUCACGACGAUUUGUUGAUACACGCUCGCGAUAUCGGCGCUUCUUGCCGAUGGAACGAAUGGAUAAACGACGCGAUCGAGGGAGAAAGAUGGAGCGAGCCUCGGCAAGAAAACUUGGCGAUUCUCAAUUUGCGGGGCUUAUGGAGUUACGCGAGAGUAGCGACCAGGGACACCUGGGUACCCUCGGUAAACGGUGAAAACUUGGGCGAACUUUCGCUCGGUGCGCGCAGGAACAAUCGAGACGCGUAAUAUCCACCUUAGUGAAUACACGGAGAGACUUCUUAAAACACGCGCGGAGACGGUGAACUCGGAAAAGCGCAAAGAAUUUAUCGGUGAGAUUUUCCGUUACGAGUUACUCGCCGUGAGCAAUGCCGGGAGAAUGGUAGAAAGAUUGUCGAUACGCUGAAAUCCGUUAUACGUAUCGCGCGAUGAUGGAACUCGUAUUACCGCACGUUUUAUCGAACACUCCGUGCACACUCCGGUGCGUUUCUUGUCGCUACAUCAAAGCGAACGUUAUCCGCUGCGAGAAGUGUGCGCCAAGUUACUUGACGGACGUAGAACCGCCUUCGUGUUUUCAGACAAGUUUGUCCUGAUUUUGGCUGGAGCUCCACGUUAAGAUACCGGUAAACUCGUUGCCAAGCUCCGCGAGACUCGCAACUUAUUAUACAACGAGCGUUUCUCGUGUUCGCGCAACUCGCUUUCCGGUUUCCUCGCGGAUCUCCCUCGCAGAAGCCUCCCUCGAGUUCUUUUCCUCCUCUUCCUCUUCUCUCCGGUCCUCCCGUAUUUUUGUCUUUUCCUUCGUCGUUACGUUUUUAUGCCAACAUUACGUCGCAAGUACGGUUUACACGGCGGGGCGAUGCUAUUUUUACCGGAAACGCGCGUAUCUCGGCGUAUCUCGAGGAAGCGCGUCAACGGCGAAAUAACGGUGUGGAGGAGCCGUCCUAGGCUCCGGCACAGUCGUAACUCACGAUUUCGCGAGGAUUCGCGGAUCGAAGCCGGCGAGAUCCCGUAAUAUCCCUCUGGAGGAUCGAACGCGCGGAGAAAAUGUAUGUGUAAAACCAUAUGUGGGACAGUGUCGGAGCGUCGGAGGAUUUGAGCGCCGUUGCGCGCCUCCCGGCCUCGUACGUUAUUUCGAGGCCUCCAUGCCUUAUUCCCUCUCCCUUUCCCUCCAACCUCAUCCACCCCCGGCCACCAGCCCCUUCAUAGACAGCGCGGUAGUUCCUUUCGUUCGAUACCGUGUGUUUCCAGAUGCUGCCUCGGCUUCGCGUCCUCUGUCGUAGACGGGGCAGCCGAUACUCGUCAGGCGGAAUAUAAGGCGCAAUCAAGAUCAGGAAUCGGGGAAAACGUAAUUUCGCGAUACGAAAAGGAAAUAUCAUAUUGACCCGGUUCAAAAAUGUAGCUCACCGGAUGCAUGAUGCUCGCCUGGAUAGAACGACGAAUCGCGCGGUACAUAUACCCUCUGUGUCGAUAAAAUCCAUCUUAAUCAGACGUUCUAUUAUCGAUGCACAUGACACGGCACAGUGCAAUCAGCGCUUUUAGACACUGAUAUAGGAUUUUUCGUUCUUUUUUCGUGCGGAUAUUUUUUAGGAUAUUGCAUCCUGCAUACGUUGCUUCGUGCGAUUUGCGGAUGACGAGUGACUGGCACAAUUUGCCAGAUUCCUUCGGGACUUGAGAUGAGAGCGGGAUUCGGUGACUGAUUAAGAAUGCCUGCGAGGUGUCCAGCGCCAUAAAGACUGUGGCGGAAAAUUAAUCUGGCACAUUGUGCUGCGUGCGAUGGGGAAGUUCGGUUCAAUUACGAGGGUCAAGCCCGAGAAACCUCGUAGGGGACGAUCGGACGGUAGAUGUGUCACGAUCGAAUCCGCAUCCUGCAAAUUGUUUCCCGCCAAUUGAAUCUCCUUUAUCUCGGCCGCGCGGUCCAGCCGAAAGCGUCCAUAAAAUCAUAACACUUGACAGGUAAGCAAAAAAUGAGUUAUGUAUUUUUAAGCGAAUUUGUCACUCAACGCGAUGCAACUGUAAAUUGUAUUUCCUGUCGAAUCGAUGAACAUCAGAUUUUCACGCGAUCAAUUUCAGCAAAAGAGAAUCUUGGUUGCUUAAAAAUUUAAAUACUCUGUACUGAAGUUAUUUUGCCUUUAUGUAACAUGACACAUGACCAAAUAAAGAAAUAAAACAACCGCAAUUUAAAUAGAACUAGCAUAAAUCAAGUCUAAACAAAGUUUCAAUUUGACUCUUUGACAAAUUUAACUUACUGUUUCUUUUUUUAUUUAUUUCAAAUCAACAGAUUUAUCAACAAGCAAUCAGGGAGCAAAAAUAAUGUAUACGCUGAGCGAUCGACCACUCCGUUACAUUUAUGGACGCAGGGCUGGUGUCGUCGUCAAGGGAACAAGGUGUGCAAGUGGCACCGUGGCAGAUGGUUUUAACGACAGCUCAAGUUACUAAAGGGUUCGGUUUUAGCGUCGUCGACCUUUCACCCCGUCGCAUCAUCGUGAGCAGACCUCUAAACGAUAAAGUAGCCAGCUAAUCGCUUCUACGCGGCUUCGUCAUACCUUGCGCGGAGAGGAGAUAAUGCACUGAUGCCCCGCAUGAUGCAACAGUGUACAGAAUAACUGAACAACCACGAUAUACAAGUUAUCGCUUUCCUCUUUUAAUGCACACAACGUCCGUACUAUCAUCGACGGGGCAAUAAGUCGGAGACGUGAAAAGAGCUCUAGGCGGCAACAAGAUUGACUGGUAGCAAAUAAAUCGUUUGACAAGAGAGACGAGCGAAGAGGAGAGAGAGAGACUGAUAGCCAUCACCGCUCCUUGUAAUUUGACAUUAGCUGUCUUCCAUCAGCGCCACUAGCUUAAUUACAUUCCACAAUGCCGGCCGCUUAUUGUAUUCUUGGACGGAGUUAUGUUUCCAACAAUGUGUCGCCGAGACUAAGGCGCGACAAUGACAAACUCGACAUGAACGAAAGAGGCGAGUUCGAACAAAUUACUUGGCGCACGUUGAACGUGACAGCAGCUACAGACGUAAGCAUGCAUAACUAUAACUCGUCAAUUAGUUACAAGUUGAGGUAAAGUUAAGAGUCCUUAAGACCCGCGGCCUGUCGCUUCGAGAGUUACGGUUGCACCUCUAGGAACGCCAAACGAGAAUUUUCGCUUCAUUAAAUCAGGUUGCGUGACAAUCAUUUGAUUAAAUCACGUAAAUUGUCUUGAAAUGUAACGUUAUAAAGCAGAUAAAAAGAUGAAAAUCACGAGAUAAUAAAUAUUACAGAUAUCACAUAACUAAUCAUUUUUGUCUCAAGAAAGAACGCUGUCAUAAAUCCAAAUGUAGGACAAUUAUGGAAAUUCAUUUCCAAUCAACAAGAAUCGUGAAAAUAUCAUUUUAUUUUCUGCAUAAUAUCGAGCAAUCUACCUUCGUAAAUUUAAAAAGUGUCAUCAAAACCUUAGAUGAUCGCGUUUCGCCGAAUUGUCUGAUAACGGAGGAGGACAGAGUUAAAAAAUGACACGUAGCGAGAGAUAGAUAGAUCAGAUCGGCAGCGCUGUCGAUCUAAUUUUAUCCGUGUCACGGUGGACCGAACCCGAAGAGGGGAGGGCUCUCUCUCUCCUACACCAUGAAAAGGGAAAACCGAGCUUUUGCGCAACCUGCCCACAGCGGGAUGGAAAAAGCUGCUCAUCGAAGCUUGCGACGAUGGCGACGGAAAACAGAAGCGAUCGACGUCAUCCGAGGCUCGUUAGGCUUCUGGAAGGCUUUGAUCGCUCGGCCGGAUGCCGUCUCUCACCGAAGAGAGACAAAGAGUGCACGUAGCGCGCUAUCCCGUCGAUCUAUUUGCGCGAGGAUGAAACGCGAAAUUUCGAAUUCGGUCAAAUCCCUCUAUGCAUCACCGCGUGUCAAUUUCAUCUCUCUGCUGUACUUCAUUUUUUUUUUCCAGAGACUGGACUGAUUUUGCGUGAAGAAGUAUAAGAGACGUCCAUUUUCCUUGCGAGAAGGAAUAAUUGCAUAUACAAUUUGAACGAAAACCAGAUUUUUCCAACGAUUGAUGAGACGUUUUACGUGUAACAAUAAAAUCUUAUCAUCCCGACUCAGAGUGACGAGUUUAGCGUCUCAGGAAUCCGGAGACCGAGUAAAAGAUGAAGCACCUAAUGACCAAAAAUAAAGGACGACAUGCUCGUUGCGAUAAAUUGUUCUACGCUCACCCUUUUCCCCGUCGAGUCCGAGAGCGGUGGUAACAGCGGAUCAUUUUCUGUGGCAACGUGGUUUUUUGCGGUGUUCGGAUGAUUAGAACCAGAGAUAGGAGGAGUUUGAGAACGGACACGAUAAAUGCGAAGACAUCUACGUAGUAAUCCAUCUCCCCGUAGUCCAUCAAAAAACUCACGUGAGCGAAAACGAGGAGUAGCUACCGCAUUUAGAUUGCAAUCGUAAAGCAUUUGCGCAAGAAUAUAUCAAUUAGUUCCAUGACAAAUAUUUAAUGUGCAGAUUUUGCUCACUCCAGAAGAAGUAAAAAUAUCGACUUACAUUCUUUAAGAAGAACAGCAAUUCUAUCAUCUUUUCGUAAAUAUUUAAUGCAGAUCUGAAUUAGUCGUUUUAGCAGGAACGAUAAUUAUCGAAAAUAAAUUCUUUAGAAGGAGACACUGUCCCACUUAUUUUAUUACUAGAUCUCUUUUUGUACGAAUCAUUGCAAGUAGAUAAAUAAAUAAUGCGAAAAAUUCAGAUGUUGAGACCACAGAGAAAUCUUGCAUUUUCGAGAUAAUUUAUCCGACUUUCCCGCAUGGAUUCAUGGAGAUCGUCUUAAUAUUUCACUUCACAGUAAAAAUUCCUGGUUUCCACGAAAGAGUAAUCUCCUACCGGAACGACCGGCUUGACUGUCGCGACAAUACGAGAAAAUCUCACGAAUGCUUGCAAAUGUAAUACGAGCAUCGGUAUUCGCGCGGGUUGGCUCGGUCAUCAAAACCACCCCCGGCGACACGCUCCUUUAGCCUUUUAAUCGUCGGCGACGCAUUCCCCGUGUACGCGAAUCGCAUGACCAGCAUGUAAUUAGCGCGCCUGUAAUUUCGCCCCGCGUAACGCACAUAAAGACCGCACCAAGGGUCAGAUGGUAGUCUAAAAUAAAAAAA
This 21307-nucleotide long non-coding RNA is filed under the name Ooceraea biroi (clonal raider ant). RNAcentral describes it as "uncharacterized LOC113563571, transcript variant X4". The record is from RNAcentral. Lineage: Eukaryota; Metazoa; Arthropoda; Insecta; Hymenoptera; Formicidae.